Molecule: long non-coding RNA, 203 nt
Organism: Haliotis rubra (blacklip abalone)
Lineage: Eukaryota; Metazoa; Mollusca; Gastropoda; Lepetellida; Haliotidae
Exons: 2
Source: RefSeq, a predicted model, not a curated record
UCAAUGUAAAUUUGUCUGUUAAUGAGAGCGGUUUCGGUUUGGAACAAACGGAAGCAUUUAUGUUUUAUAUUUCGUUUAGUUUUGCUUGUUCUUACUUGAUAAAAACUACAUUUUCCAUUAGACAAAAUCAGUGUGCUAUCAGACAUUACAUUUACAAUAUACCACCUAAGAGAAUGAAUUUCUGCAAUGACAGAUGAUGCAAA